UGGGGAAUAUUGGACAAUGGGCGCAAGCCUGAUCCAGCCAUGCCGCGUGAGUGAUGAAGGCCCUAGGGUUGUAAAGCUCUUUCACCGGUGAAGAUAAUGACGGUAUCAUAGGAGGAAGCCCUGGCUAAAUACGUGCCAGCAGCCGCGGUAAUACGUAUGGGGCGAGCGUUGUCCGGAAUUAUUGGGCGUAAAGGGUACGUAGGUGGUUUUUUAAGUCAGGUGUCAAAGCGUGGAGCUUAACUCCAUUAAGCACUUGAAACUGAAAGACUUGAGUGAAGGAGAGGAAAGUGGAAUUCCUAGUGUAGCGGUGAAAUGCGUAGAUAUUAGGAGGAAUACCGGUGGCGAAGGCGACUUUCUGGACUUUUACUGACGCUCAGGUACGAAAGCGUGGGGAGCAAACAGG
This 403-nucleotide ribosomal RNA is filed under the name Verrucomicrobiota bacterium. RNAcentral's name for it is "Verrucomicrobia bacterium partial 16S ribosomal RNA". It matches the Rfam family "Bacterial small subunit ribosomal RNA", at positions 355 to 776 of the family's 1533-position model. The record is from RNAcentral. Lineage: Bacteria; Pseudomonadati; Verrucomicrobiota.